RNAcentral lists this transfer RNA (56 nucleotides) under Lepidoglyphus destructor. Its description in RNAcentral is "tRNA-Thr". The record is from RNAcentral. Lineage: Eukaryota; Metazoa; Arthropoda; Arachnida; Sarcoptiformes; Glycyphagidae.
UCCUUUCUAGUUUAUUAUAAAACACUGAUUUUGUAAAUCAAAAAAAUACAAAGGAA